CCUACGGGAGGCAGCAGUGGGGAAUAUUGUACAAUGGGGGCAACCCUGAUCCAGCCAUGCCGCGUGUGUGAAGAAGGCCCUCGGGUUGUAAAGCACUUUCAGUGAGGAAGAACGCCUGGUGGUUAAUACCCAUCAGGAAAGACAUCACUCACAGAAGAAGCACCGGCUAACUCCGUGCCAGCAGCCGCGGUAAUACGGAGGGUGCGAGCGUUAAUCGGAAUUACUGGGCGUAAAGCGCGCGUAGGUGGCUUGAUAAGCCGGUUGUGAAAGCCCCGGGCUCAACCUGGGAACGGCAUCCGGAACUGUCAAGCUAGAGUGCAGGAGAGGAAGGUAGAAUUCCCGGUGUAGCGGUGAAAUGCGUAGAGAUCGGGAGGAAUACCAGUGGCGAAGGCGGCCUUCUGGACUGACACUGACACUGAGGUGCGAAAGCGUGGGUAGCAAACAGGAUUAGAGACCCCUGUAGUC
Molecule: ribosomal RNA, 465 nt
Filed under: Vreelandella stevensii
Lineage: Bacteria; Pseudomonadati; Pseudomonadota; Gammaproteobacteria; Oceanospirillales; Halomonadaceae
Description: partial 16S ribosomal RNA
Rfam family: Bacterial small subunit ribosomal RNA
Source: RNAcentral